CUCAGGGAAAGUACAAGUAAUUGCAGAGGGUUACUGUAGGAAAGACUGAGGGAUAUGGGGCAUGGGAGGAGGUGGUGAGAAACUUCCUGUGCAGAAGCCCCACAUGGGAUGAGCCCCAUGCGGGUAAGGAUCUGGGGGGAGGUGGUGACCCUUUCCAAAUUAACAAAGCGCUUUCAGUUCAACACAAUGGCAGAAGCCUGUGUGCAAGGUUACAGGAACCAAGAAGUCAGGUGGAAAAGCAAGCUGAGAGGUGAUUUGUGGUUUUUGUUUUGUGGUUUAAGGUGUAGCUGAUUCUUUCUCAGUCAUCAGAACUCAACAAAAACUGUUACCCUGAUGAAAAAUCAACAGCUGAUCCACA
Molecule: long non-coding RNA, 358 nt
Organism: Phyllostomus discolor (pale spear-nosed bat)
Lineage: Eukaryota; Metazoa; Chordata; Mammalia; Chiroptera; Phyllostomidae
Exons: 2
Source: RefSeq, a predicted model, not a curated record